This is a small nuclear RNA of Choloepus hoffmanni (Hoffmann's two-fingered sloth), 106 nucleotides long. The record is from Ensembl. NCBI's taxonomy places the organism in Eukaryota, Metazoa, Chordata, Mammalia, Pilosa, Megalonychidae.
GUGCUCGCUUCAGCAGCACAUAUAUAAAAUUGGAAGGAUGUGGAAAAGAUUAGCAUGGCCCCUGCACAAGGAUGGCAUGCAAAUUCAUGAAGCUAUUCCAUAUUUU